This 280-nucleotide ribosomal RNA is filed under the name uncultured bacterium. RNAcentral's name for it is "partial 16S ribosomal RNA". It matches the Rfam family "Bacterial small subunit ribosomal RNA", at positions 28 to 309 of the family's 1533-position model. The record is from RNAcentral.
GACGAACGCUGGCGGCGUGCUUAACACAUGCAAGUCGAGCGGUAAGGCCCUUUCGGGGGUACGACGAGCGGCGAACGGGUGAGUAACACGUGGGUGACCUGCCCUCAGCUCUGGGAUAAGCCUGGGAAACCGGGUCUAAUACCGGAUAUGACUCCAUGACGCAUGUUGUGGGGUGGAAAGCCUUGUGCGGCUGAGGAUGGGCCCGCGGCCUAUCAGCUUGUUGGUGGGGUGAGGCCUACCAAGGCGACGACGGGUAGCCGGCCUGAGAGGGCGACCGGCC